AUGCAACAUCUUCUCGCUGGUUGCUUGUUCUCGCGACAGGUAUAACACAAGAUCCUAUCUUGGUGCCAUGCCACUGCCACCCUUCCCAGCCCGGACUGUGAGUUCCGCGAGUGGUUCUCCGCCUCCAUACAUGACUCUCCGACCGCCCUUCGCCGAGGGCUUGCCACCAUCAUCAUCCUCACUACCUGGAGACUUUGGAAGCACUGCAAUGACUGUGUGUUCAACGCCGUCAGCCCCUCUAUCGCCAGAGUCUCUGAUUGCAUCAAGGAAGACGCCCGCGCUUGGGUGCACGCCGGGGCCAAUGGGCUUGGCCAACUGAUUGACGAGACGUAG
Molecule: ribosomal RNA, 333 nt
Filed under: Triticum aestivum (bread wheat)
Lineage: Eukaryota; Viridiplantae; Streptophyta; Magnoliopsida; Poales; Poaceae
Description: partial small subunit ribosomal RNA
Source: RNAcentral